Miniopterus natalensis is the source of this 496-nucleotide non-coding RNA. NCBI's taxonomy places the organism in Eukaryota, Metazoa, Chordata, Mammalia, Chiroptera, Miniopteridae. The record is from RefSeq and is a predicted model, not a curated record.
AAAAUUCAGAAGUCUACAAGCUGUACGGGGCUCCAGAGAGGAGAACUUCACUUCCCAACAGAGAUGGAAUGAUGGUCCCCUAAGAGCUGCACCAACACAGGUUAAAGCAAUUCAUGCACCAUGAUUCGGAGCCUUGUCUGUACUGGGUUCGUGCGGUGCUUGGAAAUGAAAGGGGACUUAGUUUUCCUGUCCUGAACUCAAGUCUCAACUCUCAUCUAAUCUGAUGUUUCCUCUUCUACAGCAGGAGAAGAAUCAUCUUUACCUUACCGUGUGAUGAAAGCUGUCCUGGACUUGUAAGGACACACAGUUUACUCCUUUAAAAACAGAAGUUCUGGUUCAACAUAGUGAUGUAAGAAGAUCCUGAACUUACCUCCUCUGAACACACUCUGGAGACAAGGCAAUCUUCAGCCUGGGCGGAGAUCACGGUCUAGGCGGCGCGGAACCAUGCUGUCCUGCCUGUCCUCAGACCUCCGGGUGCAUGUAUACUAGAGCUCAU